AUGGACGAGUUCUGGUUCUCUGGAUUGGUCUUGAUAAAGCUUUCAUACAGGAUACAACUUAAGCUGGAGUUCGUCGCUAAGCAGAUACUAGGAAACGUAGCUAUCAAUUAUCUUGUAUACAAAAGGUUUGGGACUGGAUCUUCUAAUGAAAGCUGGAGCAGAAGAAGAAGUCCAGGAGGGAGAGAUGGAGAUGUGAGCAUGUAUACAUAUGUUCUGGAGACACUAGACUUAUCCGGUGGUGUGUGCGUGCUAUUGUAUCCUCUUUCGGCCACUCUAAUCUACACCCUCAGUACAAGCCGAUGCAACGUCAAGAUCGACAGGGGUGCGGGGUUCAGUUCGACGAUGACGAGCCAGGCAACUAGCCUUUGCAUCAUGAACUGGCGCAGUUUGAUCUUGCCCGGUGUUGGCCCUGCACAAAUGGCGUCUUCAGCUCAGCGAUCAUCUUACAUGCCAAGCACCAAACCGACACCGCGGCUUCUGCUGCUGGUGCUAGUGUGGAUGUUUAGCAAGUUCAACUACCAGUCUACGCCGAGUUCAGCAGUGUAG
This 546-nucleotide ribosomal RNA is filed under the name Triticum aestivum (bread wheat). RNAcentral's name for it is "partial small subunit ribosomal RNA". Lineage: Eukaryota; Viridiplantae; Streptophyta; Magnoliopsida; Poales; Poaceae. The record is from RNAcentral.